AACAGGAUUAGAUACCCUGGUAGUCCACGCUGUAAACGGUGGGUACUAGGUGUGGGGUCCAUUCCACGGGUUCCGUGCCGUAGCUAACGCUUUAAGUACCCCGCCUGGGGAGUACGGCCGCAAGGCUAAAACUCAAAGGAAUUGACGGGGCCCCACACAAGCGGCGGAGCAUGCGGAUUAAUUCGAUGCAACGCGUAGAACCUUACCUGGGUUUGACAUGGAUCGGGAGUGCUCAGAGAUGGGUGUGCCUCUUUUGGGGUCGGUUCACAGGUGGUGCAUGGCUGUCGUCAGCUCGUGUCGUGAGAUGUUGGGUUAAGUCCCGCAACGAGCGCAACCCUUGUUCACUGUUGCCAGCACGUUAUGGUGGGGACUCAGUGGAGACCGCCGGGGUCAACUCGGAGGAAGGUGGGGAUGACGUCAAGUCAUCAUGCCCCUUAUGUCCAGGGCUUCACGCAUGCUACAAUGGCUGGUACAGAGAGUGGCGAGCCUGUGAGGGUGAGCGAAUCUCGGAAAGCCGGUCUCAGUUCGGAUUGGGGUCUGCAACUCGACCUCAUGAAGUCGGAGUCGCUAGUAAUCGCAGAUCAGCAACGCUGCGGUGAAUACGUUCCCGGGGCUUGUACACACCGCCCGUCAAGUCAUGAAAGUUGGUAACACCCGAAGCCGGUGGCCUAACCGUUGUGGGGGAGCCGUCGAAGGUGGGACUGGUGAUUAGGACUAAGUCGUAACAAGGUAAC
This 734-nucleotide ribosomal RNA is filed under the name uncultured Propionibacterium sp. RNAcentral describes it as "bacterial SSU rRNA". It matches the Rfam family "Bacterial small subunit ribosomal RNA", at positions 771 to 1500 of the family's 1533-position model. The record is from RNAcentral. Lineage: Bacteria; Bacillati; Actinomycetota; Actinomycetes; Propionibacteriales; Propionibacteriaceae.